ACGAACGCUGGCGGCGUGCUUAACACAUGCAAGUCGAGCGGUAAGGCCCUUUCGGGGGUACACGAGCGGCGAACGGGUGAGUAACACGUGGGUGACCUGCCCUCAGCUCUGGGAUAAGCCUGGGAAACUGGGUCUAAUACUGGAUAUGACUCCACGGUGCAUGUCGUGGGGUGGAAAGCCUUGUGCGGCUGAGGAUGGGCCCGCGGCCUAUCAGCUUGUUGGUGGGGUGANGGCCUACCAAGGCGACGACGGGUAGCCGGCCUGAGAGGGCGACCGGCCACACUGGGACUGAGACACGGCCCAGACUCCUACGGGAGGCAGCAGUGGGGAAUCUUGCGCAAUGGGCGAAAGCCUGACGCAGCGACGCCGCGUGAGGGAUGACGGCCUCGGUGUAA
Molecule: ribosomal RNA, 395 nt
Filed under: uncultured bacterium
Lineage: Bacteria
Description: bacterial SSU rRNA
Rfam family: Bacterial small subunit ribosomal RNA
Source: RNAcentral